RNAcentral lists this unclassified non-coding RNA (1473 nucleotides) under uncultured fungus. Its description in RNAcentral is "sequence contains 18S rRNA gene, ITS1, 5.8S rRNA gene, ITS2, 28S rRNA gene". The stretch from base 530 to 1473 matches the Rfam family "Eukaryotic large subunit ribosomal RNA", at positions 1 to 961 of the family's 3401-position model. Lineage: Eukaryota; Fungi. The record is from RNAcentral.
GGAAGGAUCAUUAAUAAAAUAUGGCUCACGCAGCCAGACAUUUAAACCUGUCUGUUACUGCGUGGGUUGUAUACAACCACCUGUUUACCUUUACCUGUUGCUUCCGUGGAAUUACGGGUGCCCUUCCUGUUCGCAGGCUUGGGUUACCUUCCACGGGUGAAUUUUUAAAAUCGUUUUUGUAUGUAUUGUCUGAUCUAAAUUUUUAAUAAAAGUUAAAACUUUCAACAACGGAUCUCUAGGUUCUCGCAUCGAUGAAGAACGCAGCGAAAUGCGAUAAGUAGUGUGAAUUGCAGAUUUCAGUGAAUCAUCGAAUCUUUGAACGCACAUUGCGCCCUUUGGUAUUCCGAAGGGCAUGCCUGUCUGAGCGUCAAUAAAUCAAUCAAACCUUGGUUUGGUAUUGGGAGAAGUGGCAUUGCCUCUCUCCUCUAAGCUAUUGGCGGCGCUAUUUCAGCUUGUAAGAUGUAGUAAGUAAUUUCUCGUCAAAACAACUGGGUGGUUGCCUGCCAAAUGAACGAUUUAUUUUACAGCUUGACCUCAGAUCAGGUAGGGAUACCCCCUGAACUUAAGCAUAUCAAUAAGGGGAGGAAAAGAAACCAACAGGGAUUGCCUCAGUAACGGCGAGUGAAGCGGCAAAAGCUCAAAUUUGAAAUCUGGCGUCUUUGGCGUCCGAGUUGUAAUUUGUAGAGGUAGCUUUGGGUGUACAGCCAGGUUUAUGUUCCUUGGAACAGGACGUCAUGGAGGGUGAGAAUCCCGUAAAUGACUUGGCCAGUGCCUAUGUAUAGCGCCUUCGACGAGUCGAGUUGUUUGGGAAUGCAGCUCUAAGUGGGUGGUAAAUUCCAUCUAAAGCUAAAUACUGGCGAGAGACCGAUAGCGCACAAGUAGAGUGAUCGAAAGGUGAAAAGCACUCCGGAAGGAGAGUUAAACAGCACGUGAAAUUGUUGAAAGGGAAGCGCUUGAGACCAGACUCAGGCAGGGUUGAUCAACCUCCAUUCUUGGUGGUGCACUCUUCUCUGCCCGGGCCAGCAACAGUUUCGGCGGUGGUAUAAAGGUUUAGGGAAUGUGGCUCUCUUCGGAGAGUGUUAUAGCCCUAUUCGUAAUGCUGCCAGUUGAGACUGAGGACCGCGCUUCGGCUAGGUUGUUGGCGUAAUGGUCUUAAGCGACCCGUCUUGAAACACGGACCAAGGAGUCUAACAUCUAUGCGAGUGUUUGGGUGGAAAACCCUUACGCGUAAUGAAAGUGAACGGAGGUAGGAUCCCCUCACGGGGCGCACUAUCGACCGAUCCUGAUGUCUUCGGAUGGAUUUGAGUAGGAGCAUAGCUGUUGGGACCCGAAAGAUGGUGAACUAUGCCUGUAUAGGGUGAAGCCAGAGGAAACUCUGGUGGAGGCUCGCAGCGGUUCUGACGUGCAAAUCGAUCGUCAAAUAUGGGUAUAGGGGCGAAAGACUAAUCGAACCAUCUAGUAGCUGGUUCCUGC